This 253-nucleotide ribosomal RNA is filed under the name uncultured bacterium. RNAcentral describes it as "partial 16S ribosomal RNA". It matches the Rfam family "Bacterial small subunit ribosomal RNA", at positions 524 to 776 of the family's 1533-position model. The record is from RNAcentral.
UACAGAGGUCUCGAGCGUUAGGCGGAAUCACUGGGCUUAAAGCGUGUGUAGGCGGAUCGUUAAGUACCUUGUGAAAUCCCACGGCUUAACCGUGGAAUUGCUGGGUAUACUGGCGGUCUUGAGCCACUUAGGGGCUACCGGAACAAAUGGUGGAGCGGUGAAAUGCGUAGAUAUCAUUUUGAACGCCAAUGGUGAAAACAGGUAGCUGGGAGUGUGCUGACGCUGAGACACGAAAGCCAGGGGAGCAAACGGG